RNAcentral lists this ribosomal RNA (466 nucleotides) under uncultured bacterium. RNAcentral describes it as "partial 16S ribosomal RNA". It matches the Rfam family "Bacterial small subunit ribosomal RNA", at positions 28 to 507 of the family's 1533-position model. The record is from RNAcentral.
GAUGAACGCUGGCGGCGUGCUUAACACAUGCAAGUCGAACGAUGAAGCCCAGCUUGCGGGGUGGGUUAGUGGCGAACGGGGGAGUAACACGCGAGUAACCUGCCCUUGUCUCUGGGGUAAGCCUUGGAAACUGGGGCUAAUACUGGAUAUGACUUCUCAUCGCAUGGGGGGGGGGGGGGAGAUUUUUUGGUCUUGGAUGGACUCGCGGCUUAUCAGCUUGUUGGUGGGGUAGUGGCUCACCAAGGCGACGACGGGUAGCCGGCCUGAGAGGGUGACCGGCCACACUGGGACUGAGACACGGCCCAGACUCCUACGGGAGGCAGCAGUGGGGAAUAUUGCACAAUGGGCGCAAGCCUGAUGCAGCGACGCCGCGUGAGGGAUGACGGCCUUCGGGUUGUAAACCGCUUUCGGUAGGGACGAAGCGAGAGCGACGGUACCUGCAGAAGAAGCGCCGGCUAACUACGUG